This 531-nucleotide ribosomal RNA is filed under the name uncultured bacterium. RNAcentral's name for it is "bacterial SSU rRNA". It matches the Rfam family "Bacterial small subunit ribosomal RNA", at positions 8 to 526 of the family's 1533-position model. The record is from RNAcentral.
AGAGUUUGAUCCUGGCUCAGAUUGAACGCUGGCGGCAGGCCUAACACAUGCAAGUCGAGCGGCAGCGGGAAAGUAGCUUGCUACUUUUGCCGGCGAGCGGCGGACGGGUGAGUAAUGUCUGGGAAACUGCCCGAUGGAGGGGGAUAACUACUGGAAACGGUAGCUAAUACCGCAUAAUGUCGCAAGACCAAAGAGGGGGACCUUCGGGCCUCUUGCCAUCGGAUGUGCCCAGAUGGGAUUAGCUUGUAGGUAAGGUAACGGCUUACCUAGGCGACGAUCCCUAGCUGGUCUGAGAGGAUGAUCAGCCACACUGGGACUGAGACACGGCCCAGACUCCUACGGGAGGCAGCAGUGGGGAAUAUUGCACAAUGGGCGCAAGCCUGAUGCAGCCAUGCCGCGUGUAUGAAGAAGGCCUUCGGGUUGUAAAGUACUUUCAGCGGGGAGGAAGGGGUUAAGGUUAAUAACCUUAGCCAUUGACGUUACCCGCAGAAGAAGCACCGGCUAACUCCGUGCCAGCCGCCGCGGUAAUAC